This 244-nucleotide ribosomal RNA is filed under the name uncultured bacterium. RNAcentral's name for it is "partial 16S ribosomal RNA". It matches the Rfam family "Bacterial small subunit ribosomal RNA", at positions 15 to 263 of the family's 1533-position model. The record is from RNAcentral.
GAUCAUGGCUCAGAUUGAACGCUGGCGGCAUGCCUUACACAUGCAAGUCGAACGGUAACAGGUCUUCGGACGCUGACGAGUGGCGAACGGGUGAGUAAUACAUCGUAACGUGCCCAGUCGUGGGGGAUAACUACUCGAAAGAGUAGCUAAUACCGCAUACGACCUGAGGAUGAAAGCGGGGGACCUUCGGGCCUCGCGCGAUUGGAGCGGCCGAUGGCAGAUUAGGUAGUUGGUGGGAUAAAAG